Molecule: non-coding RNA, 74 nt
Organism: Phrynosoma platyrhinos (Desert horned lizard)
Lineage: Eukaryota; Metazoa; Chordata; Lepidosauria; Squamata; Phrynosomatidae
Source: the annotation of a GenBank genome assembly
GCCAGUGUGGCAUAGUGGUUUGAGUGUGCUGGCCUACAACUCUAGAGACCAGAGUUUGAUUCCCAGAUCAGCCA